UUCACAUGAUGUUUACAAUAUUUGCUACUUCGGACGUUGCUUUGCAGCGAAUGAGACAUACUUUUAUCACCAAGAUCUCUGAUGGU
This is a small nucleolar RNA of 86 nucleotides. It matches the Rfam family "Small nucleolar RNA SNORD24". Rfam says of the family: U24 is a member of the C/D class of snoRNA which contain the C (UGAUGA) and D (CUGA) box motifs. C/D box snoRNAs have been shown to act as methylation guides for a number of RNA targets. The record is from Rfam.